GUGGGGAAUCUUGGACAAUGGGGGCAACCCUGAUCCAGCGACGCCGCGUGGGUGAUGAAGGCCUUCGGGUUGUAAAGCCCUUUUGCCGGGGACGAUGAUGACGGUACCCGGCGAAUAAGCACCGGCUAACUCCGUGCCAGCAGCCGCGGUAAGACGGAGGGUGCUAGCGUUGUGCGGAAUUACUGGACGUAAAGGGCGCGUAGGCGGCCUAGUCAGUCGGAUGUGAAAGCCCGGGGCUCAACCCCGGAACGGCAUCCGAGACGGCCAGGCUGGAGACCGGGAGAGGAGGGUGGAAUAGCCAGUGUAGAGGUGAAAUUCGUAGAUAUUGGCUGGAACACCGGUGGCGAAAGCGGCUCUCUGGCCCGGGUCUGACGCUGAGGCGCGAAAGCGUGGGGAGCAAACAGG
Molecule: ribosomal RNA, 405 nt
Filed under: uncultured bacterium
Lineage: Bacteria
Description: bacterial SSU rRNA
Rfam family: Bacterial small subunit ribosomal RNA
Source: RNAcentral